CAUCCCCAGCCGCCUCCGGUGGAGGGGGGCCGGGGGCGGCUUUGCCCCCUCGUACCCCAAGCCGCUCCCAUUGGUGGGCCGGGGCCUCUCCAUCCUACUCCCGUUGGGGGCUGGGGCCGCGGCCGGUGUCACUGACACAUUCCCCCGGAGAGCUGUUUAACCCUUCAUACCCCGCGCCUCCCUGGCUGGGCCCGAGGCUGCACUGGGAGGUUAAUAAUUCACCCCGGGGGGGGGGGGUUGUGGUCCUCCAGGGGGCAAGUUGUGCCAUUAAGUUUCAUGCAGUCCUAAGCCUGGAGCCCAGGGCACUUGCAUGGGUCAUGGCAGGGUGGAAUAUGGCUCUGAGUGAUCCCUUCCCAGAGAGGAUACAGAGGUUAUUUUCACUGUGGCACCUGUGGUUUCCUCUGAUUGGGAAAUAUCCCUGGUAUACAAGGGGCAGGCUGGGGAUUAAAUUGCUUUCGCGUUUUAAUUUUUCCUAUAACCGGUGAGUUUUUGUUUGCUUUCAAAAUCUGGUCACAGCGUGUGGGCCCUGCUGUUGCACUAAUCUAAGCAAAAUUCUUAGACCUAAUUAAGAGCUGUUACUUUUCUGGUUGCAGUUUGAUAUUUAGGGAUAAUGAUCCAAAUUCUACAUAUAGUAAAUCCAGAGUAACCCCACUGAUUUUAGUGCAGCUAAACGGUUUGACUGAUUGCAACAUCAAGCUCAAUGACUCUAGGAGAGCAUAUGUUCCACUCUGUCUGUUGGGCAACGAAGGGGCCAUAGAUUCCCAUCUCGCUAGUGGCCACCUAGGCCUUAAAUUGUUAAUGAUCAUAUGAUAAACAGCCUACUUAGUUCUCUUGGUCUGGGAUUAAAUUCCUAAACAUCGACUGGUGUAUCCCUCCAUUUAUGUGGGCAAAGGGGUGGAAACCCACCCUGCUUUAUGGCAUUCUCCCCCUAAACCUAGAGAAUACCCUUUGUAUUGAUAGGGGUUUACAGGCUAGCAGGCAGCAGGCCAGAAUGGAUUAAUGUAGUUCCUAUCCAGAGCAGGUUUUCUUCAUGUUCCCUGCCACUUAGACCACCAUUAACGCAUAUGGCAUGGGCUAUUUGUGCAACUGCAGUGGGAGCAGGCUCUCCUCUCAUGGUAGAGUAGGUUGAUGGUGGUUGUGUAAAGAUUUCCAAGUCUGGGUGGAGAUCUGCAAGGGUUGGGUUUCCAUUUGCAACAAAUCCCUUGCCUAAUAGUUAUGCUGAUUUCUUUCUCAUGUUGAUGAGGUGGCAUGCACCCCUCACUGAGAUACAUACUGCAUUUUUUUCCCCCCUCAGACGUGUUUCUCUUCAUGAGGUGUCGGUUAUAGGUAUUAUUUAAACCUAUUAAAUAGGUAUUAUUUUGGGUCUGACUCUUUGUUUCCUACCUUUGCAGAGGUGUAGCUAAGGACAGAAUUUGAGGACAAUCAGGUUGUGUAUGUGUAACUUAAAGCAGCUGUUGGCCCACAAAAUCGGUGUGACACACAUCAGAAACUAUCCAGCUUGAAAAUUCAGGCUGUAGUAGAGCGGAGUGUGCAAAACCAGACAUGUUUGGGUUUGCACAGGUGACAGAAACCUUAUUUUUUGUAAAUGAACAAAUGUGAUACAAAAAUCAGCCAGAGCUCCACAAUGCCAUUUUCACAACUACUUUUCAGAGUAGUACUGCACUUUAAAUGUUUACCUUUUCUCAUAUUCUAUUUGUUAUAUUCGGUUACAGAUGUUAGAUACAGAAAAUAUCUAUUAGGUCAGCCAGUCACUGCUGACUCAGUCAAGAGAGGCAAUACUUUACAUAAACUGAUGCUUUUUCUGUGCAACAGUUCCAUGGUGUUGUGAGAAACCAGAGUCAGGUCAGGAAGCUUAGAGAAAGCACACUGAACCACUUUCUAUGUAUUGCUGUUGUCCUGGUUUGAGACGAGGAAACGUAUGCACUUGAACAACCGGAAGCUCAGUAAUGUCCUGAGUGUGAAAAAGGAACUCUGUCUUAUGCCAGCUGCCAUCUUGUAUCUGCAGUUCAUGGAAUUAGAGAGAGUAUUAAAUACAUAUCAAACUAUCAAUUUCAAAACAUAGAGAGAAUCUAGAACUCAAGGAACCAGAGAAGCAAAUGAAAGAUCUAUUCUCUUGUCAAUGCAUGGAACAGCUAUGUGACUUCCCCCCCCCCCCCCCCCCCCAGGACCGUCUCCCAAUCCAUUGAAGAAAGAACAUCUGUCAAAAUUCUAACUUGCUAUAAAGCUUGAUGGGGGCUUGAACUAUGAGACUAAUACAUUUCUAUAUUGUCUAGGCUUCUGCUUGGAUUUAAUAUGCAUUCUUAGGAGUUAUGGGGAAAUCAGAUCCAUCUUUUGUCAUGAACUUGUUAUUUUAAUUUUUAGAAAAUCUCAAUAAAAACUGUUACCUUAUAAAAAUAUAAAAUAACAAUAUAACACUGUUUGGGGAUGUGGGAGUCUUGAUGUUUGCAGUCACUCCUUUCUUGCCCAACCAGUCAAAGCAGCAGGUACAGUGGAGACCGUUGAAAAGUGAAAUCCCUGCAGGAAGGGAUAAGUGAGAUUCUGCAGGAAAUCUGUACAGUACAUAGUUUCAGAAGAGAGAGAGAUAUCUCAUAGAAUCUCACGGAAAAACUACACUUUUCAAAAGCCAUCACUGUAUGUCUUACCUUCUUCCAGAACAAAAACCCAAAUCUGAUGUACUUCUAUAAAUAUAGGGCCUGAUUCUUCAUUGCUUUUCACUUUUUGCAGUAAUUUAUACCAGUGCAAACUGCUCCCGGUCUAAGUGUGUUGAAAAUUCUGAUCUGGUAACAUUUUAUACCCAUUUAAUACAGUUUCCAGUUUGAAAUGCACCUGUCGUCAUGCCAUCUGUCUGUACACAGAUCUCCCAGUGAAUUGGAAAGAGUUCCACCCUUGGAAUGAUGAUAGGAUAAGGCUAAGUCCUUUGUUCUCUUUAGCACAGUAUAGAAUUGGAUAUUUUAGGCUCUCUGUAAUAAAAAUAUAUUGCUACAAGCAUCAGUGGUAAAGGCAACGUCUUGCCUGUUAAUGGAGUUGAUCUAAUAAUUAUUGGAAUUUUAUUAGAUUUUUUCAAGUUCAAAAACAUUUAUUUUAGCCAAUGAAAGUCCAUCAUUGUCCAUCAUCAGUUUAUUACAUAAGUAGAUAAUUGCCCUGUAACUAGUGAAGUUAAUGACAUUCAGUCAUCAAAAGAUUAACUUCUAGCCUGUAAUGAACUUGCCCUCUUCCAGCAGUUUGGUUUUAUUCAGAUAACAUCAUCAGAAUAUAUAGCUCAGCCUAAGCUUUCACCCCAUGCCUGGCUGUUCCAGGAUUUCCUGAAGAACCUCCAUGUACCUUCCCUAAGUUGCAUCUGAAGAGAGGGUCCUGUUACCUUAACAAGCAGGGUCCACUGAGUGUGAUGCUAAGAGCAAAGACAGAUUCCCUGCAUAACUGCAAUUGCUGUUAGCAUUUGGAUAUAUCUUGAAUUUAAUAUAAAAUGGUCAACAUAUGGAGAGACUUGCUAAAAAAUAUGAGAAGUGUGCUUCAUGUUAUGAAAAUCUAAAUGACUCUUGUAACGAUAGAAGGAAAAAUAAAUGCCCAAAACUUAUAUUUAUUGUUAUUAAUUUAAUAACGCCAAAAUAUAUUUACCAUGCAUUCGUCUGUAAGCACCUUUGGUUCAAGUAGUGUAUUUGCUUCAAACAUUUGACCAUUCCAGCCUUUGAAGCUAACAGAUGUUUUCUGAGCAUCUGCCGCAUUUGUUCCCCACACUGGCGUGUUCAGACAGUGAACAGUGAUGGUAUGGGUUGCUUCUGAGCUCAGUAAAUGAAGAAAGUUCAUCUGCACUUUUCCAACUCCAAACUCCAACUAGUUUACAAAAAUGCAUUGUUAGACAUAACAGUUGUAUCAUGCUCAAUGGCCAACAAUCAGAAAGAUUUUGGCAAUAUAAAUACAGCACUUAUAGAGGAUAUUAACUGUACCAGUUAAUUUGGUUGACAAACCAAAAUGCAUAUGUCUCCUGCUUUCUUCAGAAGACUUGUCAGGUGUGUGUAUAUAUAUAUAUACGUACAAGAGUAGAAUCCUAUCAUCAUCAUAAUGAAUGAAUACAGUUGUACACAAGUCUAUACAGUAUAUACACUUGUAUAACUUACAUUUUCAGAGCUUGUUAUAAAAUUAAUUAAUUCUCAGUAUACCCCUGAAAUGUAGGUAGGUAGAUAUCCUUAUUUUGCAGAUAGGAAACUGAUUCAAAGAACGGUUAAGUGAUUCAAAGGAAGAUAUGCACAGAAAGAAGUGAGAGUUUGGAUCAGAGUUCAGAAGUUCUUUGCUCCCGGUCUUGUUUUCAGUCCAUUAUAUUGCUCUGCCUCUCAACACUUAGAUUUUAUUAAUAACCUGAGAUAUUGCAAGACAGAGAGAGAGAGGCGAUAUAUAUUGAGCUAUAUAUGGAAAAUGUAAUUUUUCUUUCAUUAUUCUUAAUACAUAUUUGCAAGAAGAAGUAUAUAUAGAGGCCAACCUAUGCCCCCUAAAUCUGUACACACAGAAGACCCUCUAUGCACAGAUCUCACCCCUCCUAAUCAGAGAGGCGUGUCAGUUGCUUGUGCUGCACCAUCCUCCAGGCCUUGUGAAGGACUCUCCCCAGGAUUGGAAUCUGCCUAGAAAAGAGAGGGCAGGGACUGGACAGUUAGUAGGUGGUGCAUGUUGGGUGAGGACUAAACCUUGAAAAUAUAAUACAUUUCUGUGGUGUCCUCCAUAAUGGGGAAAUGCCCUUGAAGAGGGAUACUGGGGGAAGCAAUGGCUAGGGAGUGUCCUUGCUCCUGUGGAUCCUCCAGUGGAGCUGUACUGAUUGGCAGAGAGAGUAGGAUGUUCUGGAGAUACAGUUGGCAUAAAGGACACAGGUGCUCCACAUAGACAGCAUCCCAGGGGGCUCUAUGGAGUAUGGGGCAGAACCAUGGCUCAUUCUAUUGGAAUGGGAAGGCCCAACCUGAAUAACAAUGUGGGAGAAACCCAAUGAGGGGAAACACUUGGCUUUUUCCUCCCAUGGGCAAUCUGGUCCACAGCCCUACAGAUGUGGUACAGUACAGUUCAGUUAAAGUACGUAGGCAAAACUCCACAGAAAAUCAAGUCCUCAUUCCAAAAGGCUUGCAAUCUAAAUGUAAAUAGAUGUUAGGAUGCAUUUAGUGAAAUGAAAAGAAAACCAGUUUGUACUGAAUACUUUGGUUACAUGUUCAAGAGCAGAGACCCUGAUGUCAAUUCACAUUUUAAUGAUGACUACAGUGCGCAAUACAGGUAUGGGGCAUUUAAAAUAUUAUAGACAGAUUAAAGAGAAGCCCAUAAAGGUAGUCACAUAGAGAUGUAUAUGAAAAGAAACAAAUAAUCAAAUGAAACAGAGGAACACAGAUCUAAUUUAUGGUGAAAUAAAGAUGGUUAGCACUGAGAAAUCUGAGAUGCCAGCAUGCAUUGGGUGGGUCAGUGUUCACUUAUUCAGAGUUUAAGCACAGAAACAUAGCCUAAUGAGAAGCAAUGCAUACCUUUGUCACAGAUACAGGUGAUACACAUGUCUGGCCACCAGCAGUAAAGUUGCAGAAAACCUCAAUGGCAUCAGAAGGACAUCCAAUAUUUGGGUCAAUCCAGUAUUUUCCUAUCAAGUUAUAAUCCCAGAUAAAAGGUAAAAAAAGAUAUAACUGCUGUUAAACAAUUUUCUGAAUAAAAUUUCCAUAAUUUUUGGCAAAUGUUAGAAG
Long non-coding RNA from Dermochelys coriacea (leatherback sea turtle), 5699 nucleotides. RefSeq lists it as uncharacterized. The record is from RefSeq and is a predicted model, not a curated record. Lineage: Eukaryota; Metazoa; Chordata; Testudines; Dermochelyidae. The transcript has 3 exons.